Molecule: ribosomal RNA, 446 nt
Filed under: uncultured bacterium
Lineage: Bacteria
Description: partial 16S ribosomal RNA
Rfam family: Bacterial small subunit ribosomal RNA
Source: RNAcentral
CCUACGGGAGGCUGCAGUCGAGAAUCAUUCACAAUGGGGGAAACCCUGAUGGUGCGACGCCGCGUGGGGGAAUGAAGGUCUUCGGAUUGUAAACCCCUGUCAUGUGGGAGCAAAUUAAAAAGAUAGUACCACAAGAGGAAGCGACGGCUAACUCUGUGCCAGCAGCCGCGGUAAUACAGAGGUCUCAAGCGUUGUUCGGAAUCACUGGGCGUAAAGGGUGCGUAGGCUGUUUCGUAAGUCGUGUGUGAAAGGCGCGGGCUCAACCCGCGGACGGCACAUGAUACUGCGAGACUAGAGUAAUGGAGGGGGAACCGGAAUUCUCGGUGUAGCAGUGAAAUGCGUAGAUAUCGAGAGGAACACUCGUGGCGAAGGCGGGUUCCUGGACAUUAACUGACGCUGAGGCACGAAGGCCAGGGGAGCGAAAGGGAUUAGAUACCCCAGUAGUC